Molecule: ribosomal RNA, 492 nt
Filed under: uncultured bacterium
Lineage: Bacteria
Description: partial 16S ribosomal RNA
Rfam family: Bacterial small subunit ribosomal RNA
Source: RNAcentral
AGUGAGCGCUGGCGGUAGGCCUAACACAUGCAAGUCGAACGGCAGCACAGUAAGAGCUUGCUCUUACGGGUGGCGAGUGGCGGACGGGUGAGGAAUACAUCGGAAUCUACUUUUUCGUGGGGGAUAACGUAGGGAAACUUACGCUAAUACCGCAUACGACCUACGGGUGAAAGCAGGGGAUCUUCGGACCUUGCGCGAUUGAAUGAGCCGAUGUCGGAUUAGCUAGUUGGCGGGGUAAAGGCCCACCAAGGCGACGAUCCGUAGCUGGUCUGAGAGGAUGAUCAGCCGCACUGGAACUGAGACACGGUCCAGACUCCUACGGGAGGCAGCAGUGGGGAAUAUUGGACAAUGGGCGCAAGCCUGAUCCAGCCAUACCGCGUGGGUGAAGAAGGCCUUCGGGUUGUAAAGCCCUUUUGUUGGGAAAGAAAAGCAGCAGGUUAAUACCCCGCUGUUCUGACGGUACCCAAAGAAUAAGCACCGGCUAACUUCGUG